RNAcentral lists this long non-coding RNA (1064 nucleotides) under Spirodela polyrhiza (greater duckweed). Its description in RNAcentral is "long non-coding RNA (SPOL_LNC000304)". Lineage: Eukaryota; Viridiplantae; Streptophyta; Magnoliopsida; Alismatales; Araceae. The record is from RNAcentral.
UCAAAUAAACCAGCACUGUUCAUCGUCGCCUUUAACCGGAGAGUCUCCACCUUCGUCCUUCCACCGUCACUGUUCAUCGUUCCGAUGCCCAGCUCGAUGAUCAGUCAGUUCUCCUGGCCAAGCCGAAGCCGGUGGGGCAGACUGGGGAAGCCCUCAAUAGAAAGGUGUUAACUCCGGAAUGAAUGUCGGUUGACCAGUGGCAACAGCUACGUGGGUAAAGGAGGAAUCUCGCCAUUAUAAGGUGCCCCCACUCCUCUCUUCUCGCUCUUGCAGACGACUUACCAGCAGUGGAGGAUAUGUGUGAAGCAUUCUUAUGGGCAUGACAAGAUGCCUGAAGUCGUAGAUAAGUACGGAGGAAGAGUUUGUCAGGCUUGGACCGCCUUCUAUUUUCUGCAUUCAAGAACUCCAGAGGACGAAGGGUUCCCUCUUCCUCUCGCUUCUCUCGGCUACCGCCGCCCCUAGUAAGAUGGACAGCUAAGCCUCUGACGUUGGGGCCUUUCUUCCCGGGUUCUCGUUAUUCUGUGACCCCUUCACUUAUUUUUUAACGGUAAUUGAGCCAAUGACCAAUAAGACGGCCUUAAUUUAUCCAACAAGCAUUUAAUUCGUUGAUCUUAAAGUGAAGGAAGGGCGGCAUUGGAAAGAGGGCGUCUUCAAGGCCCAAUAACGCAGGUGGCCUUCUAGCAUGAACCUCGGAUGCCUCAAGCCAUCUUGGGCUUCGUUGACUUGCCACCAGUGAGCUGAAUUGGGCUGAGGAGCACGGAAAUUUUGGGAACAUUUUCCAAGGAACCGUGAUGAUAUCGGCCCGUGAUGAAAUGUCUUCUGCCCCGUCGUUUAUUGGGAAUUCAAUUAAAAAUAGGACUUUUAAAAGGAAAUAUAGAAUUUCUAUUCAUAUGAAAAAAAAUGCUGCGAUACCCUUACUAGUUGCAGCCAGAGCUAUCACGCACAUGAUCUUUUGCGGCUACUUCUCGUUUACCCCACGCGGAGCAUUAGUUUGACGCAUGAGAUGAGUGGAACACUAUCCUAUGCAAGGCACGUGAGAUGACUAUCUCUCUAUCUCUACUACC